CCUACGGGAGGCAGCAGUAGGGAAUAUUGCUCAAUGGGGGAAACCCUGAAGCAGCAACGCCGCGUGGAGGAUGAAGGUUUUCGGAUUGUAAACUCCUUUUGGUAGAGAAGAUAAUGACGGUAUCUAACGAAUAAGCACCGGCUAACUCCGUUCCAGCAGCCGCGGUAAUACGGAGGGUGCAAGCGUUACUCGGAAUCACUGGGCGUAAAGAGCGCGUAGGCGGGAUAGCAAGUCAGAUGUGAAAUCCUAUGGCUUAACCAUAGAACUGCAUUUGAAACUGUUAUUCUAGAGUACAGGAGAGGUAGGUGGAAUUCUUGGUGUAGGGGUGAAAUCCGUAGAGAUCAAGAGGAAUACUGAUUGCGAAGGCGACCUGCUAGA
This 378-nucleotide ribosomal RNA is filed under the name uncultured bacterium. RNAcentral describes it as "partial 16S ribosomal RNA". It matches the Rfam family "Bacterial small subunit ribosomal RNA", at positions 338 to 733 of the family's 1533-position model. The record is from RNAcentral.